CGAGAGGAUCUAAUUUGCAGGGUGCAUACGAUUUAGGUCCAGAGAUCAUCUUAACUGAGUUUGACUUGUCCUGCAUACAUUAGAUUCGACCAAUAAAAUCAAGCAAACUCGAAUUAUUUUUAAUAAUGCAAUGAUGAAGGGAAACACAUUUUCUUAUGUUUAAAUUUAAAAUGUGCCUAAAAAUAAUAAUAAGUGCUAUAUAAAAUAGAUAACUUAAUUCAUUAUUUAGCACUUAUCACACCCCCAACCUACAUUUUGCUAGUCCUCGAGCAAAAUAAAAACUCACUUUCGCAGGCAUCGCGAUUGCAUUUACCGUAUGCAAUAAGGCUUUACACCCCUAGGUGGCUCUAGUGGACGAGUUUUGUCUCGUGAGGGUUUUCGGUGCAGCUACCCACAAACUGCUGUCGAAAGAAUUUAUUUUAUUGUUUUAUAAAAUUUAAUUUCAAAUGCCUUAAUGUCAAGAAUUUCAAAAGCACACAGUUUUAAUUACUAAGUCAGCCCAAAUCCUAGGUCAGUAUGCAACUUAAGUUGAAGUCAUUAAGUUUCAGUUAGAGAGUUGUAAGGCGUAUUUAUACUUGGGUGCUCGGUGAAAUCUGGACCAUACACGAGCUAAGACUUUCGGUUCCCCAAAAUACUGCUAAAGCUAGUAGUUUCCAAGAAUUGGUCAGAUAAGACCUAUUCACUGAUUCAAAAUCAUCAUAUCUUGCAAGAUUUCGAGAGUUGUGGAUGUUUACUUUAAUACCUCAUGGGCUUUAUCUGUAAUAUUCCAGUUUACUCAAAUUUUUACAACAACGGCUUUCACACUAUCGUCUUUUUCAAGGUCAAUAUUAUUUUCUCUUUCUCUUUUUAUUUUUUAUU
Molecule: long non-coding RNA, 858 nt
Filed under: Phoenix dactylifera (date palm)
Lineage: Eukaryota; Viridiplantae; Streptophyta; Magnoliopsida; Arecales; Arecaceae
Description: long non-coding RNA (PDAC_LNC015656)
Source: RNAcentral